AGGCAUAGCUGCUAUCUCGCUAUCUGCAAACGUAUUCAACAAGACAUAAUGUUCUUGAAAAUUCUACUAUUGGCACCCCCAACGCAGCCCACAUCAUCUUGGUACAGAGACGGUUUUCCCUUUUCCAAAACAGGCUGCACUUAUCAUCUGAGAACCUUCGGAGCUCUUUGAGAAAGGUUUCCUCUUUUAUUAACUUAAUGUUGCCAAUGUGUUCCCUCUGCCAAUGUGUACAAACCGAGUCUGUCUUUGAACAUCUUUUGUAUUUUGUUUGCCAGCUGCAAGUCACCAAGUUCGACCAACUCAACCCCACGACAAGUUAAACAAAGGAAAAAGUAUGCAAUCCUUCGCCCAUUUCUCAAAAAGUAAGCCCGCUCUUUCCAUUAUGUUUUCGUAUGGCCUAUUUAUCGUCGCAUUGUUGUAUAUUUUGCAUUAUUACUAAUUUAACAUUGCCAAUCUAUUUUCUCUAACAACGUGUAUAACACUUAACUUAUCUAACUUUGCCUACUUACAUUUUAACUUCAACCUUUAAACAUGUUAUGUAUUUUGAUUACUAGCUGCCAGCCGCGAUGUCAGACUCAAUUCCUGCGCAAUUUAGAUAAAGGAAAGCAAGUAUGCAGCCUAUUCACUAUCUUUGAAACAGGUAAUCCAGCUCUUUGCCUUAUAUUUUUCAGUAUGGCAUAUUGAUCAUCACUUUAUUGUAAAUUGUGAUUGUUUGCACAUAAGGGUGCAUGUUGGAUGUGUCUACUCAGCAUUAUGCGGCCUUAAAUACAGUUCCAAUCGAAAG
RNAcentral lists this long non-coding RNA (784 nucleotides) under Solanum tuberosum (potato). Its description in RNAcentral is "long non-coding RNA (STUB_LNC011835)". Lineage: Eukaryota; Viridiplantae; Streptophyta; Magnoliopsida; Solanales; Solanaceae. The record is from RNAcentral.